UGAAAACUUAAAAUUAAAAACCCUUCCCUUGCUUCCUAACCUACCAACAACUGAAGCAGCUCUCCCAAAUCCCAAUCUACACCCUCCCAUUGCUAAUUUCACCACCACCAAUACCUUAAACCCUAAAUCCUCUACUCCACCCUUCACUUUUCAAUGGACCCUCGUUGGCGGAUCAGUAAUGACUUUGUGCUCCGUACUCUCUCUAGCUAGGGUUUUUUUCUCUCUCUACAACUACUUCGGAGUAACUGCAAAUGGUGGAACCGGUGGGAAUUGGCGGUGAUCGCGGCGGCGGCGACGAAGAGGAGGAAUUUCUACUGAUGGAGAUCAGUAAUAAUGGAGAACACUCGCGGCGGUUGAACUUUAACGGAUUUCAGUUAUCUACUGAGCACAAGGAGAAGCCUCCUCAUGGCCUCCAGGAUUGUCUCGGGGUUUUAGGUGAUUUCCCCCUCAAUAUUCUUUCUCUACUCUCUACUUUAACCUAUACGAACUCGGUUUGGUUAGGUCGUUGUCUUUGGUUUGAUUCUUCAAUUUGUUUAGGCUGCUUUUUUUAUUAUCCUAAUUAGCAACUAAUAUAUUCUGUGUCGACUAAAUUAAGUCGUUAUUCUUGUUGUUGAAAUGAUUAUUUCAAAAUCACUUUAGUUUAUACAUUUUGUUUUUUUGUUAGUUUAGAAAUAGUUCUAUUUUAAGGAUGUAUUGGAAUUUUCUUAUAAAAAUACAUUUUUUCCAUCAAUUCUGUCUAUAAGUAGAUGACAAGUAAUUGUAUUAGUUAAUUCCAAAAAUUUUGGAUUAAUCACUUGUUUGGUGUGAUUUGAAUUAGUGAUUAACAAAUGUUUCGUCUUUUGUGGGUUCUAUCUUUGGCUGGUGUGCUUUGGCUGAUAAUUUGAAGGAACACUACUUGAACAGAUUAUAAAGUAGACCUUGAAUCAAUAUGGGUUGUUGUGAGUAUAUUAUAGGUGAAGUAUAUAUUUGGGAUCAGCAAAAUGGGUUGUGGCGAGGAGCUCUGGAUUCAUGAUUUGGUUUUGUUUUUGUGAGCUUACCACAAAAUAUGUGAAUAGAGCAAAGUCUGUGACUCCGUGUUCGUAGGAACCUUUAAAAAUACGGGAAACUACCAUUGCCAAUCAAAGGCAUUUUAAUGAAUUUCUCUCUCAUUAUAUUUUGUCAAAAUGAAGUUUUAACAGCCCUAAAUAAAAAUCUAUUGAGAUAGCCUCUGGAGUUAUAAUUGAGGGACCAUAGCAAGCAUCAACAGGUUAACAUGAUACAAGAUGCUCUAAUUCCAUAAUGAAUUUACACAUGGUAGUUUCCAAUAAGAAUACUUUAAACAUAGAACUCGUGCAUUUUAUGGGAUCAUUUAUCUUCUGCAGAAAAAUUGGCCUACAUUUUAAAACACCUCAAUGCAUUUUAAUCAUGUAACUAAAGGAAGCUACUAACACAAUGUUUAGAUCAUGUGGCCCACUGCCUUUCCGUUUCCUUUCUCAUUUAUGUCCUGCUCGAUGAACAAGAGAAUCCUUAUAUUACGUAAACAAUGGAUAUGACUUUGGUUUGUUUGUGAAUUUAUGGAUAUGGCUUGGGGUUGUUUGUGAAUUUUCUUUUCAGAAGACAUAUCGUAAAGUGAUGAGCUUCUUCAUUGAGCAAGAAAAUUUCUUGAUUUACUUGGAGAUUACCCCAAAAAGAUUUAUUUAAUUGCAUCAUUUUCAUUUCAAUCAAGUGGACAAGGUGUGGCCAUCAAAUUUCAUGCUCCAUUAUGUUGCUGAGUAUUUCAAUAAGUUAGUAUUGUGUGCAUCUUGAAUUGAUGUCUAUACAUCUGACACUAGAGUAGCUUGGACAUGGCAGUAUGAAUGCUUGAGUAACUAUUUACAAAUUUACUGCUAUAUCUGCAAGCUUUUCUGUGUAGUCACUGUCUUUUUAUAUAACGGUAUUACAUUCUUGAUACAACAUUGAGGACUUUUAUGAUAUGCAUUUAAAUUAUAGGCAUCUAGUUACCAUUUGUUCUCUCUGCUUUCUAGAUAAUCUAAAUUAUUUUUUCUCUGCUUUCAAAUAUUUCUAUUUUUGUAGACGUGGCUAAAACAGAAGUUUACUACUUAUAUAGUACUAGUUUUCAUUGUAUGCAAUGAUGCCAUCUUUCUGCAUAAGGGUAAGAUGAUAAUCAUAUAGUAUAUUAUAUUAAACACAAAUACAAAGAAUCGUUUGUAAAGACUAAUUUUCAACUUUUUAAUCAUCGUCAUCAUUGUGCUUAUCACUAACAGGGAAGUCAUUACUUCAUUGUUACUAUUAUCGCUAGUAUCGGUUUGAAUGAAAAUUGCAAGCAACAAAGAAUUUUACUUGUAUUCUAUAUGUUUAUUUUCAAGUUCAUCUUUUGAGUACUGUCACAAUAGAUCAAUUCUGGUUAAUCUAAUGAUUCCCCCCUCCUAAAUCAACCAUGUUAUUGCCUAAGAUCUUGACUUUGUAAUUGAAUCUCUCAUUGUACCAAACUGAAUUUUUGUCAUUCAGUGACUAUAUUGAGUACUAAAGCUACCUACUUUAAUGCUUUAUACAAGAUGCUGCAAGAUGGAUGAUUUUGACCAUUUCUUGUUGUGGAAUAUGUAUGUUCUAUAUUAAUGGAAAUGUACCUACUUGUUGCGGGUCGUCUUCUCGUAUGCAUCUUACUUAUAGCAAUUAUUAAACUUGAGUGGUUAAAUGAAUGUGACUAUUUUCAUUGUGUUUCUGGGAUUAUAUACCAGUAUGUGGUUUGCUUAGUGAUGUUUUUGGCUUUUACUCUAGUUUUAGGUUGAAGGAAAAGACAGCAGCUUUGAAAUUUUCUAUCUGUCUAAGAACCUCAAUGAAUAUGAUGAUUACACGUUCUGGGUUCAGAGGGAUGACCAGGGAUAUGCAUAUGACAAGUUGCAGGCUUUACCUGAUGCUCUUAAUCAUUCCUGUGGUAAGUAAGGAGAUUUAACAAGUUGGAUUCACACUUAUCUUUUUCUGGUUCAAAUUGUUUUUAUUACUCUUAAAAUCUGUUAGUGUCAAUAUAUUGUUGGUAUCAUAUUAUAUCCUCGCAGGUUCCCUAUGGGCAAAGAUAAUAGAGUGAUAGAGUGAGAGAGAGAGCAUUAAGCCACCCAUGUAACUUUAUGUUUUAACAUCUGUUUUAGCUUGGACAUUUGAAUGCAUCUAAAUAAUCUGACAGUUGAAUUAGAAAAUGCACAAGUUACUUUGGAUGCUAGACAAACUGGAAAAUGAGGGAUUCAUUACAUGAGUCUAAAUCAAGUUCAAGCAGAUACAUGUUUGUAUUUAAUGACAAUUCAUUAAAUUGCUAAGUUUUCUAUUUUGUCCAGUAUAAUGUUUUUAAUAUUCUCUCCUGUUCUUCUUUGUAGGCGCAAGCAGAAUACAAGGCAUAUUUUAUGGAUAGUUUAAUUAGGUAGUAGUUUAAUUUUAUGGAUAAUUUGGUAUAUUUUGUGGAUGUAGUCAAAUUCACAAUUCAAUAUAGUAGUAAUUAUGUUGAAAAAUGAAUCUGAGAUGUAUGGAUAGUUUGGUAUUAUUGGUAUGUAAAUGUAUUGUAUGAUAUUAAUAUUCUUUGUAAUUGGUAUAUUUUGAAUUUGAGAUGUAUGGAUAGUAAUAUUAUUUGUAAUUGGUAUAUUUUGAAUGUUUGAUACAUUUUGGCUUUAAAUAGAUGACACCUUCUAAACGUUG
This 3663-nucleotide long non-coding RNA is filed under the name Panax ginseng (ginseng). RNAcentral describes it as "long non-coding RNA (PGIN_LNC016631)". Lineage: Eukaryota; Viridiplantae; Streptophyta; Magnoliopsida; Apiales; Araliaceae. The record is from RNAcentral.